UACGUAGGGUGCAAGCGUUGUCCGGAAUUAUUGGGCGUAAAGAGCUCGUAGGCGGUCUGUCACGUCGGGCGUGAAAAUCCAGGGCUUAACCCUGGACCUGCAGUGGGUACGGGCAGACUAGAGUGCGGUAGGGGAGACUGGAAUUCCUGGUGUAGCGGUAAAUGCGCAGAUAUCAGGAGGAACACCGGUGGCGAAGGCGGGUCUCUGGGCAGUAACUGACGCUGAGGAGCGAAAGCGUGGGGAGCGAACAGG
RNAcentral lists this ribosomal RNA (252 nucleotides) under uncultured bacterium. RNAcentral's name for it is "partial 16S ribosomal RNA". It matches the Rfam family "Bacterial small subunit ribosomal RNA", at positions 524 to 776 of the family's 1533-position model. The record is from RNAcentral.